This 279-nucleotide ribosomal RNA is filed under the name uncultured bacterium. RNAcentral's name for it is "partial 16S ribosomal RNA". It matches the Rfam family "Bacterial small subunit ribosomal RNA", at positions 335 to 603 of the family's 1533-position model. The record is from RNAcentral.
ACUCCUACGGGAGGCAGCAGUGGGGAAUAUUGCACAAUGGGCGCAAGCCUGAUGCAGCCAUGCCGCGUGUAUGAAGAAGGCCUUCGGGUUGUAAAGUACUUUCAGCAGUGNGGAAGGGUGGGUAUGUUAAUAGCAUAUUCAUUUGACGUUAGCUGCAGAAGAAGCACCGGCUAAACUCCGUGCCAGCAGCCGCGGGUAAUACGGAGGGUGCGAGCGUUAAUCGGAAUUACUGGGCGUAAAGCGCAUGCAGGUGGUUUGUUAAGUCAGAUGUGAAAGCCC